This 491-nucleotide ribosomal RNA is filed under the name uncultured bacterium. Its description in RNAcentral is "partial 16S ribosomal RNA". It matches the Rfam family "Bacterial small subunit ribosomal RNA", at positions 29 to 506 of the family's 1533-position model. The record is from RNAcentral.
AGUGAACGCUGGCGGUAGGCCUAACACAUGCAAGUCGAACGGCAGCACAGUAAGAGCUUGCUCUUACGGGUGGCGAGUGGCGGACGGGUGAGGAAUACAUCGGAAUCUACUUUUUCGUGGGGGAUAACGUAGGGAAACUUACGCUAAUACCGCAUACGACCUACGGGUGAAAGCAGGGGAUCUUCGGACCUUGCGCGAUUGAAUGAGCCGAUGUCGGAUUAGCUAGUUGGCGGGGUAAAGGCCCACCAAGGCGACGAUCCGUAGCUGGUCUGAGAGGAUGAUCAGCCACCCUGGAACUGAGAAACGGCCCAGACUCCUACGGGAGGCAGCAGUGGGGAAUAUUGGACAAGGGGCGCAAGCCUGAUCCAGCCAUACCGCGUGGGUGAAGAAGGCCUUCGGGUUGUAAAGCCCUUUUGUUGGGAAAGAAAAGCAGCAGGUUAAUACCCCGCUGUUCUGACGGUACCAAAAGAAUAAGCACCGGCUAACUUCGU